GACUCCUACGGGAGGCAGCAGUAGGGAAUCUUCCGCAAUGGGCGAAAGCCUGACGGAGCAAUGCCGCGUGAGUGAUGAAGGUUUUCGGAUCGUAAAGCUCUGUUGCCAGGGAAGAACGCUUGGGAGAGUAACUGCUCUCAAGGUGACGGUACCUGAGAAGAAAGCCCCGGCUAACUACGUGCCAGCAGCCGCGGUAAUACGUAGGGGGCAAGCGUUGUCCGGAAUUAUUGGGCGUAAAGCGCGCGCAGGCGGUCAUUUAAGUCUGGUGUUUAAUCCCGGGGCUCAACCCCGGAUCGCACUGGAAACUGGGUGACUUGAGUGCAGAAGAGGAGAGUGGAAUUCCACGUGUAGCGGUGAAAUGCGUAGAUAUGUGGAGGAACACCAGUGGCGAAGGCGACUCUCUGGGCUGUAACUGACGCUGAGGCGCGAAAGCGUGG
This 437-nucleotide ribosomal RNA is filed under the name Sexangularia sp. CB-2014. RNAcentral describes it as "partial Bacterial small subunit ribosomal RNA". It matches the Rfam family "Bacterial small subunit ribosomal RNA", at positions 334 to 764 of the family's 1533-position model. The record is from RNAcentral. Lineage: Eukaryota; Tubulinea; Elardia; Arcellinida.